CUAAAUAUAUCUUUAUGAACGAUGUAUCAUUUGAAUUAUUCUCGAACUCGGAGUUUUAAGGGACAUAAAAGAUUCUAUUUAUGGUUUAUAUUAGGUGCUUUGAAUGGAUCUAAACGACUGUUUUGCAUACAAUCACUGGGAGUUAACUUAACUGAACUUCCCGGAUACAUGUUUGCUUGUAUCCAAAUGAUAACCACUAUUUAUCAUUCUUAUCUGGGGGUUUUAUAUAGAUUAAACAGAUGUUAUUUUAUAAUUUGCUCAAAAGAUGUGUUUACUUGUAUCUGCAUUGUGCCAAAAUUAAUGAUAUUAAUGCAAAUUUAUCAUAUACAAUAUAUGAAUACUUAUUUUUACUAUUUCCUCCUGUUUAGUGAGUAAAAUUGAGAAUGGAAACGGGGAAUGUGUCAAAGUGACAACAACCCUGCAAUUUUGAGAUGCCAUCUUACAGUGGCAGAUUCAGGAGGCUGAAGGAGGCGUAAACUCCCUACCUUUUUUUUUUUUUUUUUUUUUAUCACAAACAUAUUAUAUUUGGGCAAAACUCAUCAAAAUGCUACUCUCUGCAUUAUUUUUAUCAUUUCUGACAACUGUUCCCCUUACUUAUUCAACCUUGCAUCUGCACCUGAUUUAUAAGUUCAAAUAAAGGAUGUCCUAGAUGUCAUUCACAUCAAAGAGAUGAUUAUCCAUAAUUAAUGUUUAUGUAUGCUAGACUUGUGAGAACAAAUUUGUCAAGCUUUCAAAAAAAAAUAUACAUAUACAGGACCAAUACUUAUCAUUUACAAAUAAGUGAUAAAGACUGAUGAAGAUACAUUUGAGAAACAUAUAUAGGCUAAUGAUGUUGUAGUCCACCAUUUUGAUAUUCAUGUAUGUGAUAGUUUUUGCAAACUAAAGAUGUUAGAUUUUUCUUUAUAUACUUUUUUGUUUGUGUUUU
This 925-nucleotide long non-coding RNA is filed under the name Mytilus galloprovincialis (Mediterranean mussel). Lineage: Eukaryota; Metazoa; Mollusca; Bivalvia; Mytilida; Mytilidae. The record is from RNAcentral.